Unclassified non-coding RNA from Papio anubis (olive baboon), 148 nucleotides. It matches the Rfam family "Metazoan signal recognition particle RNA". Rfam says of the family: The signal recognition particle (SRP) is a universally conserved ribonucleoprotein. It is involved in the co-translational targeting of proteins to membranes. The eukaryotic SRP consists of a 300-nucleotide 7S RNA and six proteins: SRPs 72, 68, 54, 19, 14, and 9. The record is from Ensembl. NCBI's taxonomy places the organism in Eukaryota, Metazoa, Chordata, Mammalia, Primates, Cercopithecidae.
GCUGGGUGUGGUGGCGGGCACCUGUAAUCCCAGCUACUUGGGAGGCUGAGGCAUGAGAAUCACUUGAACCCAGGAGGCGGAGGUUGCAGUGAGCUGAGAUUGUGCCAUUGCAGUCCAGCCUGGGCAACAAAGUGAGACUCUGUCUCAA